ACACUCCUACGGGAGGCAGCAGUGGGGAAUAUUGCACAAUGGGCGGAAGCCUGAUGCAGCAACGCCGCGUGCGGGAUGACGGCCUUCGGGUUGUAAACCGCUUUCGCCUGUGACGAAGCGUGAGUGACGGUAAUGGGUAAAGAAGCACCGGCUAACUACGUGCCAGCAGCCGCGGUGAUACGUAGGGUGCGAGCGUUGUCCGGAUUUAUUGGGCGUAAAGGGCUCGUAGGUGGUUGAUCGCGUCGGAAGUGUAAUCUUGGGGCUUAACCCUGAGCGUGCUUUCGAUACGGGUUGACUUGAGGAAGGUAGGGGAGAAUGGAAUUCCUGGUGGAGCGGUGGAAUGCGCAGAUAUCAGGAGGAACACCAGUGGCGAAGGCGGUUCUCUGGGCCUUUCCUGACGCUGAGGAGCGAAAGCGUGGGGAGCGAACAGGCUUAGAUACCCCUGUAGUCCCAUGA
This 456-nucleotide ribosomal RNA is filed under the name uncultured organism. RNAcentral describes it as "partial 16S ribosomal RNA". It matches the Rfam family "Bacterial small subunit ribosomal RNA", at positions 333 to 800 of the family's 1533-position model. The record is from RNAcentral.